RNAcentral lists this ribosomal RNA (253 nucleotides) under uncultured bacterium. RNAcentral's name for it is "partial 16S ribosomal RNA". It matches the Rfam family "Bacterial small subunit ribosomal RNA", at positions 524 to 776 of the family's 1533-position model. The record is from RNAcentral.
UACGUAGGGUGCGAGCGUUAAUCGGAAUUACUGGGCGUAAAGCGUGCGUAGUCGGUUAUCUAAGUCGGAUGUGAAAUCCCCGGGCUCAACCUGGGAAUUGCAUUCGAUACUGGAUAGCUAGAGUUCGGCAGAGGGAAGUGGAAUUUCGGGUGUAGCGGUGAAAUGCGUAGAUAUCCGAAGGAACAUCAGUGGCGAAAGCGACUUCCUGGACCAGAACUGACGAUCAGGCACGAAAGCGUGGGGAGCAAACAGG